This 254-nucleotide ribosomal RNA is filed under the name uncultured bacterium. Its description in RNAcentral is "partial 16S ribosomal RNA". It matches the Rfam family "Bacterial small subunit ribosomal RNA", at positions 524 to 776 of the family's 1533-position model. The record is from RNAcentral.
CACGUAGGGCGCGAGCGUUGUCCGGAAUUAUUGGGCGUAAAGAGCUCGUAGGCGGUGUGUCGCGUCGGCCGUGAAAACCUGGGGCUCAACUCUGGGCGUGCGGUCGAUACGGGCAUCACUUGAGUUCGGCAGGGGAGACUGGAAUUCCUGGUGUAGCGGUGAAAUGCGCAGAUAUCAGGAGGAACACCAAUGGCGAAGGCAGCUCGCUGGGACGGUACUGACGCUGAGACGCGAAAGCGUGGGGAGCAAACAGG